This 253-nucleotide ribosomal RNA is filed under the name uncultured bacterium. RNAcentral's name for it is "partial 16S ribosomal RNA". It matches the Rfam family "Bacterial small subunit ribosomal RNA", at positions 524 to 776 of the family's 1533-position model. The record is from RNAcentral.
UACGGAGGGGGCUAGCGUUGUUCGGAAUUACUGGGCGUAAAGCGCACGUAGGCGGCUUUGUAAGUUAGAGGUGAAAGCCCGGGGCUCAACUCCGGAAUUGCCUUUAAGACUGCAUCGCUAGAAUUGUGGAGAGGUAAGUGGAAUUCCGAGUGUAGAGGUGAAAUUCGUAGAUAUUCGGAAGAACACCAGGGGCGAAGGCGACUUACUGGACACAUAUUGACGCUGAGGUGCGAAAGCGUGGGGAGCAAACAGG